CUCUACGCUCACGGGCUCUGACCAAGCGCUCCAGGGGCCUUGGUAGGUGGGGCCGUUGAGCCUGGCGCGCAGCUGUAAGCGGUAGCGAGAUCGGGGGCGCAGCUCCAGGCUCCCUCCCCGGGCCCCAAGAGGCGGUUCCAGCACCUGUGCAGAAGAAAGGUUUAUGCCUCUCUCCCUGACAUCAAACCCAAUCAAAAGUUAAAUGCUUACCUGUCUCCAGGGCAGCACUGAGCCUUGUUGUGGUAGAAGAAGCCUUGGGAUUGAGUAUGGUUCUGUUGCUGCCACUGACAGGUAACAUUCAUCAGGUCCAAGGUAAAGCAUUGCAGGCCAAUUGCCACUAAGUUUAUACCACUUAAUGGCAACUUGGAGAUGAUCAAGAAGCAACUUGGAGAUGAUCAGGAAGCAACUUGGAGAUGAUCAGGAAGCACCAUGGUUCCCAAAGCCUCCACUUCCAGCCUAAGCCCGAUUAGACAUCUUUUAAAAUCUCUUCUCUACUUCUCCAGUCCCUUCAUUGACUCACCUGCAUCCCUAGGCAGGGCUACAGUUACAGGGAGGGACCAGGGCCCCCAGGAACCACUGAAAGAGAUUCCAUCAGGUUGGCUGCGCAGCUGGAGCCAGUAAGAAUUGCCAGGCAGGAGUCCGGAAAUGAGGCAGCUUCCACCCAUCACAGGCAGAGAUGGAACCUUGGGGAAAAAAGUCCCAGCAUUGGAAUCUAGACCACCUUCUAGCCAAGACAACCUCUACCUCUUUAUAGUUGGAGUCUUAUAGCACCUCUGUGCAAAGGUCAGUUCCUUACUUAAUACACACACAGAUUGAGGACUAGGUCAGUGUGUAUUAAGUGGUGUUCAGGGAUUUUUAGGAAGGUCUCCAUCUAUUUGGAGGCCUGAAGCCCUCAAUUUUUUUUUGUACCAGGAAUUAAUCUCAAGACCUUGCGCUUGCUAGGCAGGUGUGUAAGCCCUCGAUUUUGUCAGUGCAAAUGACCCAAAGUGAGAGACCGUUAAACAGAGAUGGCUCCUGAGGGCAGGCUCCAAGGCUGUCCUAAUUCUGUAAGGACCAAUCCCACCUGGAAUCUCCAAAGUACAGAAAAAAAUUGAGGGUAAGGAAUAGGAGGUAGAGCAGAACAAUGUUAGAAUACUUCUCUGGUUGGGGAAGUCUGCCUUGGCCCGUGCUGUUGGGGUGCUGUGGGUUGAACACAUGGAGGCUGGUCCAAAGCAGGAGCUGGGUUUGGCCUCCUUAGAGUGGGGCAGCAGGUCUCUGUGGGGAGCAGCCGCAUGACUCUGGGGUCGGUGGUGUUCUUGGGAUCCACAGGGCCAUAGCGGAGUUCAUGCCUCAGGAAGUCACUAAUUUCAGGAGCCGGAGCCUCCCAACGUAGCUGAAGUUCCCCUGGCUGGCUCCCACCCGUGGCCCUGAUGACACUGGGGGGAGCUGGCAGGCCUGAGGGCAAGACAAGGCACAUCAAAACUCAGACUGCUUGAUUCGACCUGUAGAUUACUGAGGAUGCUGGAGACUGAACUGGGGCAGAGUGGAGGUGGGGCAGAGUAGGAAGGCUUUGUAUCCUGUUCUUUCCUCAUGAGAACAGUGACAAUGGUUUGUUAGAUUCUGUGCUCUUAAAAGCAGGGAUGUCAAGGGGAUUUAGCUCAGUGGCAUAAGUGCCUGCCUGGCAAGUGUGAGGUCUUGAAUCCCCGAUACCAAAAAGUAAAAAAAAAGACAAACAGGGACUUCUUUUCAUUUCUUUAUUCUCGUCACCUGUCAUAGUGCCUGGCACACAGUAGGUAAUUUGUAACUGUGUAAUAGAUGAGUAAAAGAAUAUGGUAAUAAUGGGAAGACUAGGAUGUCCCUUGUGUGAAAUGAUUUGUGGGAUAAUUCUAGCUUUGGAUGGGAGUCUGGGAGAGAUGAUAAAGGGGGUCUUGAGAUGCCUCCCGGGGGGUCUAAUAAUGAGGACACUCAUGUUUUCUUGAAAGACUGCAGACAAGUCUCAUUCCACAAACUGGACAGCAGACCUCAAAUGGAGGGAGUAGGGUGACAGAGAUGUCCUUACCCACAGUAUCCACAGACAGUACCCACUCAGUCAGAGUCCGGUUCAGGAACACAUCCUUCACCCAAAAGUGCAGCUUAGAGAAAAGGCGCACUUCAUCCUGGGCUGGAAACUGGCACAUGUAUCGGGUUCCAGAGGGGGGCACGCUCUGGGAACUCAGAGGACAGGCACGAGGCUUCUCUCUGUUGAUACAGGAGACAUUCUGCCUACACAGAUACCAUAUUCAACUCUGAAGACCCUGGAUUUAGCCUGUCCCCAACUUCUGUUUCCAUUCCCUCUAUUCUUUGGAGAGAAUGUGUUUUAUAUAAAGGCUUGGGGUUGGCUGUUCAUAAAGCAACUAUUUAGGGCGUAGACUUGAAAUAACCCUCUGAUAGGGCCAAAGACAGGGAAUCUAACAGAGUUGGACUCAGCUGAAUGAAGUGCAGGGACAGAUAUACAGGGAGUGUGGCGCAGCCCAGCACCUACCCUGAGUAGGCAUACAGCAGCUGAUAUGUCCCACUGGGUGCUGCCUCUUCCUCAUCCCAGAAGCAAGUGAGGUCCUCAAAUGUUUGGGAGAAACAGUUCAGGGGCUUUGAAUCCGAGGUCAGCAAGGAAACAUCUGAGGAACAGCUGGUGAGUUGGGUUCUGGGUCCUUCCAGGUAUGUUUAUGGGCAAGUGUAGGGGAGCAUGGAAGUCUGCUACCCUGCAUCCCCUCCCAGGGACCUGCAUCCCUUCCAAAAGCUCCCUCUUCCUGGGCAUAGGUGAUCUCCACCCUCUAUACACCUCACCUUGGCUGGUGACUUGUGCCAGGUUUUGGGGGGCCAGAAGGAGGCAGGAGGGGACCACAAAGAGGGCCCAAGAGGGCAUCUUCUCCGGCACUGUGCCUGCCCUAGCCCAUCCUCCCUUCAGGAAGCCGGGCCCCAAUCCCCUCCCGGGCCAGCCCCUCAGGUUCCUGUCAGAUACAACCCCACGUCCUGUCCCUGUCCCUGCCCCUCUGGGGCCCAUCCGACCACACUGGGGCCAGGCCCCAGGGGAGGGGGAGUGGGCUGGAGGGUACGAGAAAUUUGAAAGAGAAGACAUCAACCCUUUGGUGGGAGGGAGAUGGGAGAAUAUAUAUUUGUGCACUAGAAGAAAAAAAGUGAGUGUGUGUCUGUGUUAACUAUUAUAGCUGUCACUAAGAAAGGCAACAUUUACUGAGCUACCAUGUAUUAAAUAAACACUCUGUACCUAUGA
Long non-coding RNA from Cavia porcellus (domestic guinea pig), 3247 nucleotides. RefSeq lists it as uncharacterized. NCBI's taxonomy places the organism in Eukaryota, Metazoa, Chordata, Mammalia, Rodentia, Caviidae. The transcript has 3 exons. The record is from RefSeq and is a predicted model, not a curated record.